CCCGGCAGUGUCUCAGAGGCCUGCAGGUGGGGGAAGCCCUGUUCUUGGCACACAUCCCAUAAAGGUUACCAAGCAAUCUUGUGACUUCCCUGCCACUUACUGUCAUGGAAUUCCUGAGGUGAUUUUUUUUCCUUUCCCUUCAGUUUGGAAGGGCUCAGCCCAAGCUGUGGCAGACUAACCACCGAGGGCCUCUAAAAGGGACAGUAAGAUCAACUCCCAGUUUGGAAGCAAGACAGAAGAUUCCCCAAGAACCAGAAAGCCAGCAGGGCUGGGAAUGAAAGCCAUGGCCUUGUAUCACAUGUUAGGCAGUGUUUCUUAUCUGAGUUCUUCCUGAAGGAUUCCAGAGUCUUUGCAAAACUUACUGAGGAGACAACCUGGCAAACCCGGAGAUCUCCAGCUGAGGAUUGCUUAGGCAAAUGGCUCCUUCAACCAGCUCCAGAAGAGAGGCUAUGGUAUGCAGAAAUUGCUUGUUAGGUUUAAGUUGUGUAACCAUCACCACCACCACCAUAACAAAAUGACUUUUGGGGAAGCAAGGGGAAUUGAGUCCCUCAGAGACUGGACUUCCCUGCUGCAGAAAACUAAAAUUCAUCUCGGAGUGACCCUUGAACCCGCACAGAACAGAACAACUGCACUCGGUGUCCAGUGUGGUGGUGCUUGGAGAAAGGAGGGAUCCAACACUCCAGAACUGUAGGACACAGAUUUGUGGAUACCAUCAGAACUGAUAAAAAUCUGACAUGAGCAAGAGAAGUCCCUUGGAUGCUUUGGCUGCUGACAUGGGUGACUUGACUUGGGGAAAGAAGAGAUACAGAAAGCCUUCGAAGUAAACAGUUGAUCCUUUCACCUUGGGGACAGCUUAAGAAUUUGUGUGGCAAAGGGGGAGCAUUAGUCUGACUGACCAGAAAAACCUCUGGAUGCUACAGCUUUGUCCUUUGUUAUGCUAUUUGAGGUAACUGUAAAGGUAACAGGGACCAUCUUGGGCCCAUGUCCCUAAUCCUCCAAUUAACAGGAGUAAGCUGGGGAGAUAUGGAUAAUUCUUGUGGUGGUUAAUAGAUAUUCUCGGCUACUUAUAACAACUGAGGUGCUCAGCCUAUGAAGGAGGGUAAGGAAAUCAUAAACUAUAGGUGGCAGUGCAAGGAAUUGCCGUUUGUAUGGGUAAUGGAAUUCAAUGUCUGAAUAUAACCUUUCAAGUGUGGUUAUCUGUAGUUAAUACUAGCUAGGAUCAUCAUAAAUUUUAUAUGCUUCAUGCAUGUGGUUUUAGAGGACAGGAGAUUAAUACUACUAGUUCCAUAAAUCUACUGCCUGUGAGAUUUGAGUCACCAACAAGAGGUCUGACUGGGUACACUGGCAACAAUGUAAGAAUGAGAACCUGGUGUGGGAAGUCCUUCUGUGUGUGUUGGUUGUAUUGGUUAAUGAAUAAAGAAGCUGCCUUUGGCCAAUGGCUUAACAGAGGCCGGAAA
Molecule: long non-coding RNA, 1457 nt
Organism: Arvicola amphibius (Eurasian water vole)
Lineage: Eukaryota; Metazoa; Chordata; Mammalia; Rodentia; Cricetidae
Exons: 3
Source: RefSeq, a predicted model, not a curated record